CCUACGGGUGGCAGCAGUAGGGAAUAUUGCUCAAUGGGGGAAACCCUGAAGCAGCAACGCCGCGUGGAGGAUGAAUGUUUUCGGAUUGUAAACUCCUUUUGUUAGAGAAGAUAAUUACGGUAUCUAACGAAUAAGCACCGGCUAACUCCGUGCCAGCAGCCGCGGUAAUACGGAGGGUGCAAGCGUUACUCGGAGUCACUGGGCGUAAAGGGCGCGUAGGCGGGAUAGCAAGUCAGAUGUGAAAUACUAUGGCUUAACCAUAGAACUGCAUUUGAAACUGUUAUUCUAGAGUAUGGGAGAGGUAGGUGGAAUUCGUGGUGUAGGGGUAAAAUCCGUAGAGAUCAAGAGGAAUACUCAUUGCGAAGGCGACCUGCUAGAAUAUAACUGACGCUGAUGCGCGAAAGCGUGGGGAGCAAACAGGAUUAGAUACCCGGGUAGUC
This 440-nucleotide ribosomal RNA is filed under the name uncultured bacterium. Its description in RNAcentral is "partial 16S ribosomal RNA". It matches the Rfam family "Bacterial small subunit ribosomal RNA", at positions 338 to 795 of the family's 1533-position model. The record is from RNAcentral.